Molecule: ribosomal RNA, 424 nt
Filed under: uncultured Pelotomaculum sp.
Lineage: Bacteria; Bacillati; Bacillota; Clostridia; Eubacteriales; Desulfotomaculaceae
Description: bacterial SSU rRNA
Rfam family: Bacterial small subunit ribosomal RNA
Source: RNAcentral
CGAAGAACCUUACCAGGGCUUGGACAUCCCCUGACCGCGUAUGAAAGUACGUUUUCACCUCGGGUGACAGGGAGACAGGUGGUGCAUGGUUGUCGUUCAGCUCGUGUCGUGAGAUGUUGGGUUAAGUCCCGCAACCGAGCGCAACCCCUACGUUUAGUUGCUAACGCGUGAAGGCGAGCACUCUAGACGAACUGCCGUUGACAAAACGGAGGAAGGUGGGAUGACGUCAAAUCAUCAUGCCCCUUAUGUUCUGGGCUACACACGUGCUACAAUGGCCGGUACAGACGGACGCAAAGCCGCGAGGUGGAGCAAAUCCUAAAAAGCCGGUCUCAGUUCGGAUUGCAGGCUGCAAUUCGCCUGCAUGAAGUCGGAAUCGCUAGUAAUCGCAGGUCAGCAUACUGCGGUGAAUACGUUCCCGGGCCUU